UAUAAAAACUUUGGUUUCUAUCAAUAAAAAAUAGUACUAUGUGUGUUGCCGAUGUACAUAAGGGGUGGGAUCAUUGAUCCUUAAGUGUUCUUUUUCCUCCAUCUCUUUGUUUUUCCAUUCAUGGAUGGUUUGAGGUGUUGUAUGUGACACGCGGUAUGCUUAUUCGCAUAUAAUUAAUUAUCAACAUCAAGUUAUUCAAGCUCACGUUCUAGUGGUACUGUCCGAAGGCUUUGCGAAAAGAUAUUUUGGCUUAAGCGUUCAGACGGCUAGGAUGUGAGGUUCGAGAUUUGGGGAUCGGGACCCGGGUUCGCUUCUAGAGUUCUAGCUUGGGGUCGAGGUCAACCUAGAUAUCAGGGGCAGGGUAGAGUAGCAGCACCUAUUCAAGAUAAGGCUAGGGAUCCAUUACCCGAUCCUAACUCAGCUCCUGAGAUUGAGAAAGAUUCAGGUAUUCCACCGCAUCAACAGGUGGGCCAGGGGUAGCCCAGGCUCCACCCAACUUUAUAUCUUCGUCACUUCUUCUGAAUACAUUAUCUCAGCUUUUAGGGUUAGUUGGUGGUGACCGAGGUGAUAGCUGUGGUUAUGGUGGAGGCAGUGGUGGAGGAGGAGGCGGUUGCUUCAAGUGUGGUGAAGACAGACAUUUUGCUCGUGAAUGAACUAGCGGUGGUCGUUGCUCAUUUUCUUUGAAACCCUUUACCCUAUGUUGGUUUUAGCUUUGAAGUUGUCGUGUUUCCGGUGCAUAUAGUCACCUCUAUCUUUUCUGUAAUUUUGGAUAUGGUUUUUUUGUUCUCUUUAUUUUCUACAUUUAGUAGUUAGUAGUGUGGUUAUGAAGCUGCUGACAAUGGGGAGUCUUAUUUUUGUUGGUGCUUGAAAUGCUUACUAUCUGUACAAGAUCAGAUACAUGUUUUCGAAGCUAUAUCAAUUAUGCAGCUGCUGUUAAUG
This is a long non-coding RNA of Capsicum annuum, 939 nucleotides long. RefSeq lists it as uncharacterized. Lineage: Eukaryota; Viridiplantae; Streptophyta; Magnoliopsida; Solanales; Solanaceae. The transcript is spliced from 2 exons. The record is from RefSeq and is a predicted model, not a curated record.